UUACAUGAGAGUUUGAUCCUGGCUCAGGACGAACGCUGGCGGCGUGCCUAAUACAUGCAAGUCGAGCGGAC
Bacillus sp. VT-16-64 is the source of this 71-nucleotide non-coding RNA. Lineage: Bacteria; Bacillati; Bacillota; Bacilli; Caryophanales; Bacillaceae. The record is from Rfam.